This 217-nucleotide ribosomal RNA is filed under the name uncultured Methanomicrobiales archaeon. RNAcentral describes it as "partial 16S ribosomal RNA". It matches the Rfam family "Archaeal small subunit ribosomal RNA", at positions 1123 to 1338 of the family's 1478-position model. The record is from RNAcentral. Lineage: Archaea; Methanobacteriati; Methanobacteriota; Methanomicrobia; Methanomicrobiales.
AGGAAGGAAUGGGGCAACGGUAGGUCAGCAUGCCCCGAAUUAUCUGGGCUACACGCGGGCUACAAUGGGUGGGACAAUGGGUAUCGACACCGAAAGGUGAAGGCAAUCUCCUAAACCCAUCCGUAGUUCGGAUUGUGGGCUGCAACUCGCCCACAUGAAGCUGGAAUCUGUAGUAAUCGUGUCUCAAAAUGGCACGGUGAAUAUGUCCCUGCUCCUU